CCUACGGGAGGCUGCAGUGAGGAAUAUUGGUCAAUGGGCGCGAGCCUGAACCAGCCAAGUAGCGUGAAGGAUGACUGCCCUACGGGUUGUAAACUUCUUUUAUAUGGGAAUAAAGUGUUCCACGUGUGGGAUUUUGUAUGUACCAUAUGAAUAAGGAUCGGCUAACUCCGUGCCAGCAGCCGCGGUAAUACGGAGGAUCCGAGCGUUAUCCGGAUUUAUUGGGUUUAAAGGGAGCGUAGGCGGGUUGUUAAGUCAGUUGUGAAAGUUGGCGGCCGAACCGUAAAAUUGCCGUUGAAACUGGGAGUCUUGAGUAUGCGAGAGGUGGACGGAAUUCGUGGUGUAGCGGUGAAAUGCUUAGAUAUCACGAAGAACUCCGAUCGCGAAGGCAGUUCACCGGAGUACGACUGACGCUGAGGCUCGAAAGUGUGGGUAUCAAACAGGAUUAGAUACCCGUGUAGUC
Molecule: ribosomal RNA, 460 nt
Filed under: uncultured bacterium
Lineage: Bacteria
Description: partial 16S ribosomal RNA
Rfam family: Bacterial small subunit ribosomal RNA
Source: RNAcentral